GGACGAUUGGGAGAGUGGUCGAAUCCACUAUCUUGGAAAGGUAGCGUACUUAAUUGUACCGAGGGUUCAAAUCCCUCAUCGUCCG
Molecule: transfer RNA, 85 nt
Filed under: hydrothermal vent metagenome
Description: tRNA-Pseudo-GGA
Rfam family: tRNA
About the family: Transfer RNA (tRNA) molecules are approximately 80 nucleotides in length. Their secondary structure includes four short double-helical elements and three loops (D, anti-codon, and T loops).
Source: RNAcentral